GGGUGUGGCUCAGUGGUAGAGUGCCCGCCCAGCGUGCAACAGGCCCUGGGUUCCAUUCUCAGCAACACA
RNAcentral lists this transfer RNA (69 nucleotides) under Marmota monax (woodchuck). RNAcentral's name for it is "tRNA.Ala". Lineage: Eukaryota; Metazoa; Chordata; Mammalia; Rodentia; Sciuridae. The record is from RNAcentral.